CGCCAGCCUGACGGAGCCAGACCGCGUGGGGGAGGAAGGCCCUUGGGUUGUAAACCCCUUUUCUCAGGGAAGAAACCUGACGGUACCUGAGGAAAAAGCCUCGGCUAACUCCGUGCCAGCAGCCGCGGUAAUACGGAGGAGGCAAGCGUUAUCCGGAAUUACUGGGCGUAAAGCGUCCGUAGGGGGCGCAUCAAGUCUGCUGUUAAAGGUCGGAGCUAAACUCCGGUAGAGCAGUGGAAACUGGGGAGCUAGAGGGCGGCAGGGGCAGAAGGAAUUCCCGGUGUAGCGGUGAAAUGCGUAGAUAUCGGGAAGAACACCAGAGGCGAAAGCGUUCUGCUGGGCCGCGCCUGACCCUGAGGGACGAAAGCCAGGGGAGCG
Molecule: ribosomal RNA, 378 nt
Filed under: uncultured cyanobacterium
Lineage: Bacteria; Bacillati; Cyanobacteriota
Description: bacterial SSU rRNA
Rfam family: Bacterial small subunit ribosomal RNA
Source: RNAcentral